GCACUUCCUGCAUAUGCAGUGUUGAUAUGUCUGAUAUUCUUGGGUUGUGCAAAGUCAACCAGCAUCUCAGACGUAUCGGCCACUGUGUAUU
Non-coding RNA from Brugia malayi, 91 nucleotides. NCBI's taxonomy places the organism in Eukaryota, Metazoa, Nematoda, Chromadorea, Rhabditida, Onchocercidae. The record is from RefSeq and is a predicted model, not a curated record.